UACGUAGGGGGCGAGCGUUGUCCGGAUUUAUUGGGCGUAAAGAGCUCGUAGGCGGUUUGGUAAGUUGGAUGUGAGAUCUCCAGGCUCAACUUGGAGGGGUCAUUCGAUACUGCCAUGACUAGAGUUCGGUAGGGGAGUGUGGAAUUCCUGGUGGAGCGGUGAAAUGCGCAGAUAUCAGGAGGAACACCGGUGGCGAAGGCGGGACUCUGGGCCGAUACUGACGCUGAGGAGCGAAAGCGUGGGGAGCAAACAGG
RNAcentral lists this ribosomal RNA (254 nucleotides) under uncultured bacterium. Its description in RNAcentral is "partial 16S ribosomal RNA". It matches the Rfam family "Bacterial small subunit ribosomal RNA", at positions 524 to 776 of the family's 1533-position model. The record is from RNAcentral.